AACGCGAAGAACCUUACCCGGGCUCGAAAUGUAGAGAACGCUAGCAGAAAUGUUAGUUCCCGAAAGGGGCUCUAUAUAGGUGCUGCAUGGCUGUCGUCAGCUCGUGCCGUGAGGUGUUUGGUUAAGUCCAGCAACGAGCGCAACCCUUAUUGUCAGUUGCCAACGCGUAAAGGCGGGGACUCUGGCAAGACUGCCUAGGUUAACUAGGAGGAAGGUGAGGAUGACGUCAAGUCCGCAUGGCCUUUAUGUCCGGGGCUACACACGUGCUACAAUGGUCGGUACAGAAGGCAGCGAAACCGUGAGGUGGAGCUAAUCCGCAAAGCCGAUCUCAGUUCAGAUUGCAGACUGCAACUCGUCUGCAUGAAGUUGGAAUUGCUAGUAAUGACGUGUCAGCAACAGCGUCGUGAAUACGUUCCCGGGCCUUGUA
RNAcentral lists this ribosomal RNA (427 nucleotides) under uncultured Chlamydiae bacterium. RNAcentral's name for it is "bacterial SSU rRNA". It matches the Rfam family "Bacterial small subunit ribosomal RNA", at positions 958 to 1385 of the family's 1533-position model. Lineage: Bacteria; Pseudomonadati; Chlamydiota; Chlamydiia. The record is from RNAcentral.